Molecule: long non-coding RNA, 1144 nt
Organism: Cygnus olor (mute swan)
Lineage: Eukaryota; Metazoa; Chordata; Aves; Anseriformes; Anatidae
Exons: 4
Source: RefSeq, a predicted model, not a curated record
GGUCUCUUAUGAACUCCAUGCCACCACUGGGAGGAAAGGAGAGGGAAUAACUGUAGAAAAAACAAGUCCUGCUGGUUUUAUUGGUAUCUUGAAUCAUGGAAUCAUAGAAUGGCUCAGGUUGGAAGGGACCUUAAAGACCACCAAGUUCCAUCCCCUCCCACCAUGGCUGCAAUGCCACCAUGUUGCCCAGGGCCUCACCCAGCCUGGCCUUGGACACUUCCAGGGAUGGAGCAUCCACAACUUUUUUGUUCUUUUUUUUUUUUUUUUUUCCAUUUCCUGCUGACUAUGGUCAUGAGUCUUCGGACUUGAAGACAGAAUGUACUGACUUAUGCAGUAGAUAGCUGGAAACAGAUGCAUCUGUAGCAAUGUGAGACUGGUGACCGUGUAAAUACAGCAUGGACAUAUACCAAAAGAAGAAAAGCAUCCAACCUAUUUCAAAUGCUUGAAAUAACAUGGGAAAGGUCUUUGUGCACAUUUUGCAUGGAGAGCUGGGAGGCAUGGAUAUUCAUCACAGCCGUCAUGGAAUUCUGGCUCGGAGGAAAAAGAAUAAAGAUUUUCCCUUUAAAGUUGCAACAUUGCCAGAACAUCCACAGAACUCUAGCUGCCUUGGGACUGCAUACUGUAUAAACAGAAUGUAAAUGAAGAUCUCAGAUAUGGAUGUUUGCCAUAAGUGGCAAGUUAAAAUUACCUAGAAUCUGCUGUGCAGGACUCACCACCUUCCUUUCAGACAAGAAAUCUUCUUGCCACUAGAAAAACAGGAUUUUCUGAAGGGAAGUCUGGGUCACAUGCACAUGUGUGGCCCAGGAAGAGGAGGAGAGGACGGGGAGUGUGAAAGGUCCCUUAUGAGCAGGACAAGAGAGGAGAGCUCAUGUGCCAGACACAGACAAGAAGCUGAGGCAGGGUGGUAGUGCAGGGGGAUGCUACCUGUAGUGUCUGCUACUUCCCCAAACCUGACACUGCUCUUCUCAUUGCAUUACUUCUCACUGCGUUACUUCUCACUGCAACUGUCAACAAGUGUCCUUCUAAUUUGUUUAAAUGUUUAUUGUGUAUUUGCUAGAAGUAUUACAUAGUAUUACAUACCUAUAUAUAUUUAGAGAUUACUGUUGUGAUGAUGCCAAGAAAAUUUUACAAACAAUUCCCAUUA